GUAGGUGAACCUGCGGAAGGAUCAUUCACGCAUGCUUUAUGCAUAAUCCAAUUUACAACCCAGUUUAUAUUCUGAUGGUAGAUCUCAAUUUGUAUGUUGUUGUCCACCUUAAGCCUAACCACAGCCACCAUUGGUGGAGAAGGAUAGCGCCUUAAAGUUGCGUGCACACAUGCAAACUGGUUCAAUCAUCAGCUUUGCUUCUUUAUAUUUUUUAUCAUAUUAAUCAUGCUUCUUUAAAAUUAAAGAAAAUUCUCGACGAUGGAUAUCUGGGUUCCCAUACCGAUGAAGAACGCAGCGAACUGCGAUACGCAAUGCGAAUAGCAGAAUUCCGCGAGACAUUAGAUCUUUGAACGCAAAUGGCGCUGGCUUGCCAGCAUGUUUGUUUCAGUGUGUAUGGAGAGUAUUCUCAUCACCUUAACAGAAUGCGAUUGAAGCCUUCUAGUAGGGUUUCUCUCGUUAAAUAAGAUGUAGUGAGGUUUGUGCAACCUCCGAGACGAAGUAGUCACAUCAUUGAGUGUGAUCUCGCCUUCGGAUUAAAGAUUGCCAAAUAUACUUCACUCAGAAUUAAAAUUAAUCUCCUAUUUCGACACCUGAAAUCAAGCAAGGCUACCCGCUGAACUUAAGCAUAUCAGUA
RNAcentral lists this ribosomal RNA (634 nucleotides) under Frontonia paramagna. Its description in RNAcentral is "eukaryotic LSU rRNA". The stretch from base 248 to 393 matches the Rfam family "5.8S ribosomal RNA". Lineage: Eukaryota; Ciliophora; Oligohymenophorea; Peniculida; Frontoniidae. The record is from RNAcentral.